UCCCUGGAGGACUAAUGGUUAGGCCACAGCGUUCUCACCGCUGCAGCCCGGGUUUGAUUCCCGGCUAGGGAA
This 72-nucleotide transfer RNA is filed under the name Pangasianodon gigas (Mekong giant catfish). Its description in RNAcentral is "tRNA-Glu". It matches the Rfam family "tRNA". Rfam says of the family: Transfer RNA (tRNA) molecules are approximately 80 nucleotides in length. The record is from RNAcentral. Lineage: Eukaryota; Metazoa; Chordata; Actinopteri; Siluriformes; Pangasiidae.